GGAUAACCCCGGGAAACUGGGGCUAAUCUCCCAUAGGUUUAGGGCACUGGAAGGUCCCUAAACCGAAAGGGGCUCUGCCCGCCCGAGGAUGGGCCGGCGGCCGAUUAGGUAGUUGGUGGGGUAACGGCCCACCAAGCCCAUAAUCGGUACGGGCAGUGAGAGCUGGAGCCCGGAGAUGGACACUGAGACACGGGUCCAGGCCCUACGGGGCGCAGCAGGCGCGAAACCUCCGCAAUGCUCGAAAGAGCGACGGGGGGACCCCAAGUGCCGUGGUACAACCACGGCUUUUCCGGAGUGUAAGAAGCUCCGGGAAUAAGGGCUGGGCAAGGCCGGUGGCAGCCGCCGCGGUAAUACCGGCGGCCCGAGUGGUGGCCACUAUUAUUGGGCCUAAAGCGUCCGUAGCCGGGCUUGUAAGUCCCUGGCGAAAUCCCACGGCUCAACCGUGGGGCUUGCUGGGGAUACUGCAAGCCUUGGGACCGGGAGAGGCCGGGGGUACUCCUGGGGUAGGGGUGAAAUCCUAUAAUCCCAGGAGGACCGCCAGUGGCGAAGGCGCCCGGCUGGAACGGGUCCGACGGUGAGGGACGAAGGCCAGGGGAGCAAACCGGAUUAGAUACCCGGGUAGUCCUGGCUGUAAAGGAUGCGGGCUAGGUGUUGCUUGGACCUCGAGUCCAA
Molecule: ribosomal RNA, 672 nt
Filed under: uncultured archaeon
Lineage: Archaea
Description: bacterial SSU rRNA
Rfam family: Archaeal small subunit ribosomal RNA
Source: RNAcentral